UACGGAAGGGGCAAGCGUUGUUCGGAAUUAUUGGGCGUAAAGGGCGCGUAGGCGGCUUUGCAAGUGACGGGUGAAAGCCCUCGGCUUAACCGAGGAACUGCCUGUCAGACUGUAAGGCUUGAGACCGGGAGAGGUGAGUGGAAUUCCCAGUGUAGCGGUGAAAUGCGCAGAUAUCAGGAGGAACACCAAUGGCGAAGGCAGCUCGCUGGAACGGAACUGACGCUGAGGCGCGAAAGCGUGGGGAGCGAACAGG
This 253-nucleotide ribosomal RNA is filed under the name uncultured bacterium. Its description in RNAcentral is "partial 16S ribosomal RNA". It matches the Rfam family "Bacterial small subunit ribosomal RNA", at positions 524 to 776 of the family's 1533-position model. The record is from RNAcentral.